GGAGGAGUUCCCGAGUGGCCAAAGGGGGCAGACUGUAAAUCUGUUAUCAGACGAUUUCAGUGGUUCGAAUCCACUCUCCUCCACCA
RNAcentral lists this transfer RNA (86 nucleotides) under Clostridium polyendosporum. RNAcentral's name for it is "tRNA-Tyr". It matches the Rfam family "tRNA". From Rfam's summary of the family: Transfer RNA (tRNA) molecules are approximately 80 nucleotides in length. Their secondary structure includes four short double-helical elements and three loops (D, anti-codon, and T loops). The record is from RNAcentral. Lineage: Bacteria; Bacillati; Bacillota; Clostridia; Eubacteriales; Clostridiaceae.